This 57-nucleotide transfer RNA is filed under the name Mesocricetus auratus (golden hamster). It matches the Rfam family "tRNA", at positions 9 to 63 of the family's 71-position model. From Rfam's summary of the family: Transfer RNA (tRNA) molecules are approximately 80 nucleotides in length. Their secondary structure includes four short double-helical elements and three loops (D, anti-codon, and T loops). Lineage: Eukaryota; Metazoa; Chordata; Mammalia; Rodentia; Cricetidae. The record is from Rfam by way of RNAcentral.
GGCUCAGUGGUUAAGAGCACUGGUUGCUCUUCCAGAGGACCUGGGUUCAAUUCCCAG